Molecule: long non-coding RNA, 416 nt
Organism: Lotus japonicus
Lineage: Eukaryota; Viridiplantae; Streptophyta; Magnoliopsida; Fabales; Fabaceae
Exons: 2
Source: RefSeq, a predicted model, not a curated record
AUUCUUGCAAAACACAUUGAUUCUCAAAAAAAUUCUUCAUUCUCAGGCGCAAAAUGACAGUUAAAGUUUCAUAUUUCUUUCUUUGCUUCACAAUUUUAUUUCUCAUCACAUCCGAACAUGGUUUUAAGGCUCAGGUCAGUGCACAGAACAUGGCCUGCAAAAUCCCUAAGGAUUGUUGGCAUUUGAUGUGCCCCUCUGAAUGUCAUGCGACAAAAUGCGUUCAAGGAGUAUGCGAAUGCGUUUGUGUUCCACCGCAGAAAGAACAUAUUUGAUAACAGAAAUAUUAAGCAGAAUAAAGUUAUGAUGAGGCUCAUUUUAUGGUUCAAAACAAUAAUUUAAUGUCUCUAAAACUAUUUAUUGUAAUAAGAGGUUGAAGUGUUGAGAUAAUUAAGUAUAUCAAAUAUAACUUCCUCAAA